This 399-nucleotide ribosomal RNA is filed under the name uncultured bacterium. Its description in RNAcentral is "bacterial SSU rRNA". It matches the Rfam family "Bacterial small subunit ribosomal RNA", at positions 360 to 776 of the family's 1533-position model. The record is from RNAcentral.
AAUUUUGCGCAAUGGGGGAAACCCUGACGCAGCAACGCCGCGUGAAUGUUAAGCCCUUCGGGGUGUAAAGUUCUGUCAGUGGGGACGAAAUUUGACGGUACCCACAGAGGAAGCACCGGCUAACUCCGUGCCAGCAGCCGCGGUAAUACGGAGGGUGCAAGCGUUGUCCGGAAUCAUUGGGCGUAAAGAGUUCGUAGGUGGUAUGUUAAGUCUGGUGUUAAAGCCCGAAGCUCAACUUCGGUUCGGCACUGGAUACUGGCAAACUUGAAUGCAGCAGAGGUAAAGGGAAUUCCUGGUGUAGCGGUGAAAUGCGUAGAUAUCAGGAGGAACACCGGUGGCGAAAGCGCUUUACUGGACUGUUAUUGACACUGAGGAACGAAAGCCGGGGUAGCAAAUGGG